Molecule: ribosomal RNA, 124 nt
Filed under: Eubacteriales Family XIII. Incertae Sedis bacterium
Lineage: Bacteria; Bacillati; Bacillota; Clostridia; Peptostreptococcales; Anaerovoracaceae
Description: partial 16S ribosomal RNA
Rfam family: Bacterial small subunit ribosomal RNA
Source: RNAcentral
AUUAAUGAGAGUUUGAUCCUGGCUCAGGAUGAACGCUGGCGGCGUGCCUAACACAUGCAAGUCGAGCGAGAACCCGCGAAGCGGAGACUUCGGUCAAAGCAUCGCGGCGGAAAGCGGCGGACGG